Molecule: long non-coding RNA, 969 nt
Filed under: Homo sapiens (human)
Lineage: Eukaryota; Metazoa; Chordata; Mammalia; Primates; Hominidae
Description: non-protein coding lnc-SLC25A32-2:2
Source: RNAcentral
GGUGGAACAACUUCAAGGCAGUACUACCAAAUGCCCUGACAAGAUGCCAGGCAAACAUCUUACUACAGUCCAUUCAUUUUUUAGGUGGUAUAUAAACUGGGCUAAGGUACACUCAGAUUUUAGAUGAGCCAAAACAUGAGCAGGAAAAGCAGAAAAAGAGAAGAUCAGAGUGAAGUGGUGAAAGGGAAAGGUAAAAAAAGUAAGUGGAAGACAAAGAGGAUGAGUAUCUGUUGUGGUCCUUCAGGGAAAAGGGCUACUGAUCACAUGACCAACCUCUACCUUCUAAGAGAUGUACAUGGAACCAUGGAGGAGUUGCUCCCAAAACCUGCGAGAGACAGAUCUAUGUGGUGCAAAAAGGUGGACGGUGGCAGAUCUAGAAAUGUGCUGCUUAGAAUUUCUUCAAAAGAACUCACUACAGGAAGCCCAGUUGACUGGCAGUCCUAGAUGCCACCCCUCUGGAUUCACCACUACAUUAGCUGCAAGGCCCCAGGGCUGCUCCCUGCCUUGGACAGCACAGUGAUGAUAUGAGUGCAAGCACAACACAAACUCCUCUGGCUGGCAACUUUGGCCUAAGGACUCCCCAUCAGCCUGGCCCAACCUUCUGUAGGACUGCACCAACAGUCUGAGAUUCCUCUUACCCAAUCCUCCUUCCUUCCAUCUCUUACCACAGGUGUUAGGUUUAUGGAAGUCUGAAGGCUCUUCCUGCCUACUCCUACUCCCUCCGCUUUGUCCUACACAAGUGAGUUCCUCCAAUAAAUUUCUUGCAUGUCUAAUACCAUCUAGUCAUCUGUUUCUUGAAGGACUCAAACUGACAGAGGAGCUCACAUUUAUGGAUCAGUAUUUGCAUAUUCUUUGAAACCACACCCAAACUAACAGCAAUAUAGGUGCACAAGUGAACUUGGUUCACCCUAAAAAUCAAGUAAUUUGAGUUCUACAAUAGAUCAUCAGGCUGGGCAUGGUGGCUUACAC